This 202-nucleotide unclassified non-coding RNA is filed under the name uncultured Mortierella. RNAcentral describes it as "sequence contains ITS1". The record is from RNAcentral. Lineage: Eukaryota; Fungi; Mortierellomycota; Mortierellomycetes; Mortierellales; Mortierellaceae.
CAAUUUUACAAGUGCUCCUACGCUCCAACUCCUCUUCGGGGAAGGAGACAAGGAACGCACUGUGGACGAAAAAUCCAUUCCCACCUUGUGUGCAUUGUAACAAACAAACCUAUUUCACAGAUAAUGAUUUUUUUUGCAAGACCGUCUGAAUGCAUCUCAUUAGCCAAUCUGCGAAAGCAGGGAGGAAUAAAAAAAUGAAAUA